Molecule: long non-coding RNA, 111 nt
Organism: Lacerta agilis (Sand lizard)
Lineage: Eukaryota; Metazoa; Chordata; Lepidosauria; Squamata; Lacertidae
Exons: 3
Source: RefSeq, a predicted model, not a curated record
GGGAGGAACACAUGGUGGCGGCAGUGACCAAUAUGGGCAGGGUGGACAGAGUGGAUCCUAUGGUGGCAGCCAAUAUGGACAGGGUGGACAGAGUGGAUCAUAUGGGAGCAG